UGUGAUAGUGAGUAUACUGCUAUUGAGACACGUUUAAUAAGAGUCUACUAUAGUAACAGUAACGUCUCUUCAUCAGCUGUUGGUACGAAAGUCAAGCUUAUGAAGCACUAUUCAAAUAAAAAGGAACAAUGCUGUGAUCUGAAAAUAAUACUACAGUGGAACCCCUCUAUAACGAACACCUUUGGGAAACAAUGAUUUGGCCUUUAUACAGAGGUAGGCUUUGUUGAGAGGUUGUUUUGUACACAAACUGUUCAUUUGGGACCUGGGUAUAGCAACUGGCCUUUAUUCGGAGGUGGUUGUUAACAGAGGUUCCACUGUAACACCGUUAGAUACGUUAGUAAGCCUAAUAAAAACUAGUAAUUGCACUUUUACUUUCUUCAGUUACUAUUGCAUUCACAUCAGAGGAGGAGAAUCCAAGCAAACACACUACAUUUUUAAACAGGAAAUUCCCAUCUACCUAUCACAUACCUCCAGGCUAGCAGCUAUAAAUAGUGUGUCAGUUGGUUAGAAUCAGCAUACCUACCAAGCAAAAGUACAACUUAGUGAAGAUGAGCUGGGCAAGUGGAAUAAUUAUUUUGAUUGUGGUCGUUGCAUUGGUGCAAGCAACACCACAGUAUGAGGUGCAAGUGCAAUCACCUGUCUUAUUUUCAUACACUCCUGGAAAUCAAACCAACUAUUUGAUGGCACUUGCUGUUCACCUAAUGAAAGCUGCUUGUCUGUGGAAACCAACUGCUGCUUUACUGCAUGCAAUGAAACUCAAAUCACCCUCUGCUUCAGAGGCUCAGCAUUCAACAAAUGACUCAGACUCUACCAACUGUUCUCUAGGAAUGGCAACAUUCCUUUUUUGAUACAGUGGCUAAUAUCACAUACUGCAUGGUAUAAUUCUACAGCAAACCUAACCACCACCACCACCACAUAUACAUGGGAGUUUCCAACUUUUCUACAAAGUGGUAGCUUUGCAGCCAGUAAGAGAGAUCAACCAUGGAUAAACAGUGGAGAACGAGCAUUUCUAUUGAUUCGGGGCAUUAGAGUGGUGUGCAGAGAAGGCUACUUUGGUCCUGACUGUGGUUGCAGCACACGAAACGACUCCACUGGACACUUUACCUGUGAUACUAAUAGUACCAAGGUGUGUUUCCCUGGUUACCAGAACCCUGAGACAAACUGUGUAGAAGAGGAAGGAAGUACACAAGAGCCUGCAAUAGCCAUGAGCAGCAGUUUGGCUACUAUACCACUAUAUCAUCUGCUAUUGCGGAUAUUAUACCCAUCGUAGGCGGAGGUGUUGCCGGGGGGUUGUUGGUGUUGCUAUUGAUGCUGACUGUUAACGUUGUAUUGGUGGUUGCUGCUAUCAAGUUCAAGUUUACUGCACAACAUUCAAGAGCUCAAGUUGAUGAGCACAUUACCAUGGGAGCCAAUCCAGUUUAUGAUAUGAAACAAAGAGAUGAAAGCGACACUUAUUAUGAAACUCUAAAAUAAUAAUUGUUGUUACGAUAAUUAUAGUGACAGAAGGCCUCUAUUAUUAUACACAUCAUGGUUUCAUAUACAUGCAGCAUAGAUAUGAACAGUGAACAAUUGAAUAGGAACUCUGUAAAUCCUGUCUUCUGGGAAUAAAAAAUACUU
Halichondria panicea is the source of this 1617-nucleotide long non-coding RNA. RefSeq lists it as uncharacterized. The transcript has 5 exons. NCBI's taxonomy places the organism in Eukaryota, Metazoa, Porifera, Demospongiae, Suberitida, Halichondriidae. The record is from RefSeq and is a predicted model, not a curated record.